CCCCCAACCCCAACCCCCAUACUGUUUUGAUCGUCUUCUUCAUUGAUAUAAAAAACAAUGAAAAAAAACAUAGAGCUCUUAUGGAGCUUCAGCCGCAACAUUGCAAAUAGGAGACCCCUCUCUAAAUUUCAUCUCCUUGGUCAUCCCCCCAAGCACGCCUGAACAUUGAAAAUCGCAGACCCUUAAAUCAUCUCCGCCAGUUUUUUUUUCAAGAGUUUCGUUUCAAGUUUUAUAUUUCUUCUUUUGGUUUCUGAUUUCAGAAUAAUGGAAUUAAUCGAGGUUUGGAGCUAAUUCUGAGGUUGGGUCGUUAGAGGUUGCCGUUGAAGGUUUACGUCCGAAAGUCCGACUCAAUUUGUGAUGAUUCGAUUUGAAGCUACGUCGAUGUCCGGAUGUAAUUGUUGCUUCAUUCAAUCUGUAUAAACUUCAGAUUCAUCUUUGCUCCGUUGGUUUCUCUCUUCCAGAUAUAAUCAGUUUAUGUGAAUGUUCAAUGUAAUCUUUGUUUCAGCAAGUUUGAAUGUAUUAUUAAUUAGUUGCUUUGCUCCUGUUUUUGAUUUGCCUUUUACCUUGUGGUGUCAUUGUUGGGAGGAUUAGAUGCCCGUGAAAUGCAACAAAUGUCCGAUUUCAUUCUGUGUUACUAGAUAUUGCUAUCAUUUUUGCCUCCUAUUAAUUGGGAAUUAAAGUGUUUGGGUGUUUAAUUGUUGGGUGUUAAAGGGUUGUAACACAUAGCUUCAGAUCCGGAUAAUCGUGUUUUCAAAUUUUUGUAUACUCUGUUUUGCUUAAUAGUGUGCUUCCAUUAAUCUGUCAUUCUCUGUUUUGUGAUGUGCUUGGAUUGAAGUUUUGUUGUUUUGAUUUAAGGAUGGUUGAUUUCUCAUUUCCUUCUAUUCUUAUUGUUGAGCAUCAUACCCUUGUGAUAAUGUGAU
RNAcentral lists this long non-coding RNA (920 nucleotides) under Nicotiana benthamiana. Its description in RNAcentral is "long non-coding RNA (NBEN_LNC020569)". The record is from RNAcentral. Lineage: Eukaryota; Viridiplantae; Streptophyta; Magnoliopsida; Solanales; Solanaceae.